UGCAAGUCGAGGGGUAGAGGCCUUCGGGCCUUGAGACCGGCGCACGGGUGCGUAACGCGUAUGCAAUCUGCCUUCCACAGAGGGAUAGCCCAGAGAAAUUUGGAUUAAUACCUCAUAGCAUCAUGACCCGGCAUCGGGAUAUGAUUAAAGUCACAACGGUGGAAGAUGAGCAUGCGUCCCAUUAGCUAGUUGGUAAGGUAACGGCUUACCAAGGCUACGAUGGGUAGGGGUCCUGAGAGGGAGAUCCCCCACACUGGUACUGAGACACGGACCAGACUCCUACGGGAGGCAGCAGUGAGGAAUAUUGGUCAAUGGGCGCAAGCCUGAACCAGCCAUGCCGCGUGCAGGAUGACGGUCCUAUGGAUUGUAAACUGCUUUUGUACGGGAAGAAACCCUCCUACGUGUAGGAGCUUGACGGUACCGUAAGAAUAAGGAUCGGCUAACUCCGUGCCAGCAGCCGCGGUAAUACGGAGGAUCCAAGCGUUAUCCGGAAUCAUUGGGUUUAAAGGGUCUGUAGGCGGUCUUGUAAGUCAGUGGUGAAAGCCCAUCGCUCAACGGUGGAACGGCCAUUGAUACUGCUGGACUUGAAUUAUUGGGAAGCAACUAGAAUAUGUAGUGUAGCGGUGAAAUGCUUAGAGAUUACAUGGAAUACCAAUUGCGAAGGCAGGUUGCUACCAAUGGAUUGACGCUGAUGGACGAAAGCGUGGGUAGCGAACAGGAUUAGAUACCCUGGUAGUCCACGCCGUAAACGAUGGAUACUAGCUGUUGGGCGCAAGUUCAGUGGCUAAGCGAAAGUGAUAAGUAUCCCACCUGGGGAGUACGAACGCAAGUUUGAAACUCAAAGGAAUUGACGGGGGCCCGCACAAGCGGUGGAAGCAUGUGGUUUAAUUCGAUGAUACGCGAGGAACCUUACCAAGGCUUAAAUGCAGACUGACCGGUUUGGAAACAGACCUUUCGCAAGACGGUCUACAAGGUGCUGCAUGGUUGUCGUCAGCUCGUGCCG
Molecule: ribosomal RNA, 1003 nt
Filed under: Flavobacterium sp.
Lineage: Bacteria; Pseudomonadati; Bacteroidota; Flavobacteriia; Flavobacteriales; Flavobacteriaceae
Description: bacterial SSU rRNA
Rfam family: Bacterial small subunit ribosomal RNA
Source: RNAcentral